AAGACUUUAAGUUAAAUAAACUAAUAGCCUUCAAAGCUGCAAAAAAAACAUAAGUUUUAAGCCUUA
Molecule: transfer RNA, 66 nt
Filed under: Meloimorpha japonica
Lineage: Eukaryota; Metazoa; Arthropoda; Insecta; Orthoptera; Phalangopsidae
Description: tRNA-Trp
Source: RNAcentral